GUAAAGUUUUAUUCUUGCUUUUUCGUUCAGUUUUUGUUUGUUUUAUAUGUAAGUUUAUGCGUGAUUUUCUUUAAUUCUAGAUGGAUUUAUUGUUGAUUUAUUCUCAUUAGUUAGUAUUGGUUGGUCAAGUGUUCUUGUAUUUAGCAAUUCAUUUUAGUUUCGGUUAAAUUUUGUGCCAGCAGCCGCGGUUAUACCUUGGAGGCGUUUGAAUGUGUUCGGCGUAUGAUAGUUUUAUGGUUUGAUUUAGGUUGAUUUUGUUUUGGUUGUUUUUUGGGUGAAAUUUUUAUUGCCGUUAUUGUCUAUUAUUUUCUUGUAAGCUGUGAAAUUCUUUUUGUAGACUAGGAUUAGAUACCCUAUUAUUUUGGAAUGUUAAUAUUUUGUGUCUGAGUAGUAUUAGUUAUGUUCUUGAAACUUAAAGAAUUUGGCGGUAUCUUAUUCCAUCCAGAGGAAUCUGUCUCGUUAUCGAUAGUCCGCGUUGGACCUUACUUAGUUGCUUUGGUUUGUAUACCGCCGUUUAUUGAUUAUCUUUUUAGAGUUUAUUUAAUUUUCUGGUUUCUUUAUUUGGAUUUAUUUCAGGUCAAGGUGCAGCUUGUUUCUAAGUGGUAAGAUGGAUUACAUUAUUAUUUGGUUAUUGGAUUGUAAGUUUUAACAUUUAUAUGAAAUUGGAUUUGGUUGUAAUGUUUUGUAGAUUGUUUUCGUGAUAAUUGGUUCUGGGAUAUGUACACAUCGCCCGUCGCUCUCGUUUAUUUUAAUGAGAUAAGUCGUAACAAAGUGGUUGUACCGGAAGGUGCGGCUGGAUUGAU
RNAcentral lists this non-coding RNA (803 nucleotides) under Phoxotermes cerberus. The record is from RNAcentral. Lineage: Eukaryota; Metazoa; Arthropoda; Insecta; Blattodea; Termitidae.